CUCCAGCUGACGAGUCCCGAAUGAGACGAAACGCGCGUCCCGGAU
This 45-nucleotide non-coding RNA is filed under the name Schistosoma margrebowiei. The record is from RNAcentral. Lineage: Eukaryota; Metazoa; Platyhelminthes; Trematoda; Strigeidida; Schistosomatidae.